This 303-nucleotide ribosomal RNA is filed under the name uncultured bacterium. Its description in RNAcentral is "partial 16S ribosomal RNA". It matches the Rfam family "Bacterial small subunit ribosomal RNA", at positions 507 to 809 of the family's 1533-position model. The record is from RNAcentral.
AGCAGUCGCCGCGGUAAUACAGAGGGUGCGAGCGUUAAUCGGAUUUACUGGGCGUAAAGCGUGCGUAGGCGGCUUUUUAAGUCGGAUGUGAAAUCCCUGAGCUUAACUUAGGAAUUGCAUUCGAUACUGGGAAGCUAGAGUAUGGGAGAGGAUGGUAGAAUUCCAGGUGUAGCGGUGAAAUGCGUAGAGAUCUGGAGGAAUACCGAUGGCGAAGGCAGCCAUCUGGCCUAAUACUGACGCUGAGGUACGAAAGCAUGGGGAGCAAACAGGAUUAGAUACCCGAGUAGUCCCUGUCUCUUAUAA